RNAcentral lists this ribosomal RNA (252 nucleotides) under uncultured bacterium. RNAcentral's name for it is "partial 16S ribosomal RNA". It matches the Rfam family "Bacterial small subunit ribosomal RNA", at positions 524 to 776 of the family's 1533-position model. The record is from RNAcentral.
UACGGAGGAUGCGAGCGUUAUCCGGAUUUAUUGGGUUUAAAGGGUGCGUAGGCGGAUCGUUAAGUCAGUGGUCAAAUUGAGGGGCUCAACCCCUUCCCGCCAUUGAAACUGGCGACCUUGAGUGGAAGAGAAGUAUGCGGAAUGCAUGGUGUAGCGGUGAAAUGCAUAGAUAUCACGCAGAACCCCGAUUGCGAAGGCAGCAUGCCGGCUUCCUACUGACGCUGAAGCACGAAAGCGUGGGGAUCGAACAGG